This 1478-nucleotide ribosomal RNA is filed under the name metagenome. RNAcentral describes it as "bacterial LSU rRNA". It matches the Rfam family "Bacterial large subunit ribosomal RNA", at positions 1465 to 2925 of the family's 2925-position model. The record is from RNAcentral.
CGGGGUGACGCAGGAAGGUAGCUGAGCCCGGCCGGUGGUUGUGCCGGGGUAAGCGUGUAGGCCGUGGUGUAGGCAAAUCCGCACCACAUGAAGGCUGAGACGUGAUGCCGAGCCGAUUCAGGUGAAGUCAGUGAUCCUAUGCUGCCGAGAAAAGCCUCUAGCGAGUUCUUAGCGGCCCGUACCCCAAACCGACACAUGUGGUCAGGUAGAGAAUACCGAGGCUAUCGGGCGAACUGUGGUUAAGGAACUCGGCAAAUUGCCCCCGUAACUUAGGGAGAAGGGGGGCCGGAGACGUGAAGCCCCGCGCGGGUGGAGCGUUGUAUGGCCGCAGAGAGCAGGGGGAAGCGACUGUUUACUAAAAACACAGGUCCAUGCGAAGAAGUAAUUCGAUGUAUAUGGACUGACGCCUGCCCGGUGCUGGAACGUUAAGGGGACCUGUUAGCUCUUCGGGGCGAAGCGGAGAACUUAAGCGCCAGUAAACGGCGGUGGUAACUAUAACCAUCCUAAGGUAGCGAAAUUCCUUGUCGGGUAAGUUCCGACCUGCACGAAUGGCGUAACGACUUCCCCACUGUCUCAACCACAGGCCCGGCGAAAUUGCAGUACGAGUAAAGAUGCUCGUUACGCGCGGCAGGACGGAAAGACCCCGGGACCUUUACUAUAGCUUGACAUUGGUACUCGAAUUAGCUUGUGUAGGAUAGGUGGGAGCCGGUGAAGUCCAUACGCCAGUAUGGGUGGAGGCAAUCUUGAAAUACCACUCUGGUUGAUUUGGGUAUCUAACUUCGGACCGUUAUCCGGUUCAGGGACAGUGUCUGGUGGGUAGUUUAACUGGGGCGGUUGCCUCCUAAAAGGUAACGGAGGCGCCCAAAGGUUCCCUCAGCCUGGUUGGCAAUCAGGUGUUGAGUGCAAGUACACAAGGGAGCUUGACUGUGAGACUGACAGGUCGAGCAGGGACGAAAGUCGGGACUAGUGAUCCGGCACUUGCGAGUGGAAGCGGUGUCGCUCAACGGAUAAAAGGUACCCCGGGGAUAACAGGCUGAUCUUCCCCAAGAGUCCAUAUCGACGGGAUGGUUUGGCACCUCGAUGUCGGCUCGUCGCAUCCUGGGGCUGUAGCAGGUCCCAAGGGUUGGGCUGUUCGCCCAUUAAAGCGGUACGCGAGCUGGGUUUAGAACUUCGUGAGACAGUUCGGUCCCUAUCCGCCGUGCGCGUAGGAUACUUGAGAAGGGCUGUCCCUAGUACGAGAGGACCGGGACGGACGAACCUCUGGUGUGCCAGUUGUCCCGCCAGGGGCACGGCUGGUUAGCUACGUUCGGAAGGGAUAACCGCUGAAAGCAUCUAAGCGGGAAGCCUGCUUCAAGAUGAGGUAUCCCACCCACUUUGUGGGGUAAGGCCCCCAGCUAGACGACUGGGUUGAUAGGCCGGAAAUGUAAGCCCGGUAACGGGUUCAGUUGACCGGUACUAAUAGGCCGAGGACUUGACAA